UCUAAUGUGGCAGAAUAGUGUAUUGAAUUUAAGCUUCAAAUAUAAGGUUUACCUUUAUUAGAA
RNAcentral lists this transfer RNA (63 nucleotides) under Kaestneriella sp. KaspPE. Its description in RNAcentral is "tRNA-Leu". The record is from RNAcentral. Lineage: Eukaryota; Metazoa; Arthropoda; Insecta; Psocodea; Peripsocidae.